This is a long non-coding RNA of Biomphalaria glabrata, 833 nucleotides long. RefSeq lists it as uncharacterized. The transcript has 2 exons. Lineage: Eukaryota; Metazoa; Mollusca; Gastropoda; Planorbidae. The record is from RefSeq and is a predicted model, not a curated record.
UUAAACGCGAGUCACAUAACGAGGCUUAAUAAACAUUACUAUACCGAGUUCUUUUUUCAUUUCAUUUGAAGAAUUAAUUCCAUAUAACGUCAGAGGGAAAAAAAACACUACGUCACACGCAUAGACUAUAUAUUACAUGGACUGCCAACUCUACGCACUAAGCCUAUAUUUUUCAAUAAACAAGUCCCGUUCAUGGAGGCGUCCUUGGUUGCGUGGUAAAUUGACUUCCGGUAGAUUUUUUUUUACGUAUAAAGAAACCAUUCUCGAAGAUUUUUACCACCACUUUUACAGCAAAUCAUGAAUGGAAACUGAAUUUUUAUAGAAGAUGUUACUGAGCUGCUCAUGAAUUUCGAGAUUUUACAGCUAAUAGAGGAACAAAUUUUAUCUGCUUCCACUUAGCCAAACAGCAUGGAAAUAUGCUAUUGUAAUGAGUAGAAGAUAUUUGUCAUUUAGAGUAUCAUGCAACAGCUAAUUAUCAGUCCACACAUUUCAAGAUGAGGAAAAGAACAGUAUAAGCUACAUUCAUGGAUGCAUUAUUUAUACAAAAAUGUAUAGUCAACCCAGUCAUCACUCCAUUUUUUUAUGAAGCCAGUUACAGUUACCAUGAAGGGAUGAAAUUUCAGAUAAUAUUCUGUUUAUUUCUAUUCUGUUUAUUUCAUGAAAUGAGAAUAGGCCUACAUCAGAAAUUGAAAUGGUCAUCUUCAGUAUUUAAUGUUUCAUCUAAAAAUGAUAAUUAUAUUAAUACAUAUUUGAUGUACAAACAAAUGAAAACCAUUCAAACACUUUUUUUUUGUGAAGUAUAGAUGAUUAAACUUGUAAGUGUCUGAACAAUA